Molecule: ribosomal RNA, 440 nt
Filed under: uncultured bacterium
Lineage: Bacteria
Description: partial 16S ribosomal RNA
Rfam family: Bacterial small subunit ribosomal RNA
Source: RNAcentral
CCUCCGGGCGGCAGCAGUGGGGGAUAUUGCACAAUGGGGGAAACCCUGAUGCAGCGACGCCGCGUGUGGGAAGACGGUUCUCUGGAUUGUAAACUACUGUCCCCAGGGACGAAGAUGACGGUACCUGGGGAGGAAGCUCCGGCUAACUACGUCCCAGCAGCCGCGGUACUACGUAGGGAGCGAGCGUUGUCCGGAAUUACUGGGUGUAAAGGGAGCGUAGGCGGGGAUGAAAGUUGGGUGUAAAAACUACCGGCUCAACUGGUAGUCGUACUAAAAACUGCAGCACUUGAUUGAAGUAGAGGCAGGCGGAAUUCCUAGGGUAGCGGUGAAAUGCGUAGAUAUUAGGAGGAACACCAGUGGCGAAGGCGGCCUGCUGGGCUGUUACUGACGCUGAGGCUCGAAAGUGUGGGGAGCAAACAGGAUUAGAUACCCCUGUAGUC